Molecule: ribosomal RNA, 415 nt
Filed under: uncultured bacterium
Lineage: Bacteria
Description: bacterial SSU rRNA
Rfam family: Bacterial small subunit ribosomal RNA
Source: RNAcentral
UGGGGAAUAUUGGACAAUGGGCGCAAGCCUGAUCCAGCCAUGCCGCGUGGGUGAAGAAGGCCUUAGGGUUGUAAACCCCUUUCAGCGGGGAAGCGGUACCCGCAGAAGAAGUCCCGGCUAACUCCGUGCCAGCAGCCGCGGUAAUACGGAGGGGACUAGCGUUGUUCGGAAUUACUGGGCGUAAAGCGCACGUAGGCGGAUUUGUAAGUCAGGGGUGAAAUCCCGGGGCUCAACCUCGGAACUGCCUUUGAUACUGCAAAUCUCGAGUCCGGAAGAGGUGAGUGGAAUUCCUAGUGUAGAGGUGAAAUUCGUAGAUAUUAGGAAGAACACCAGUGGCGAAGGCGGCUCACUGGUCCGGUACUGACGCUGAGGUGCGAAAGCGUGGGGAGCAAACAGGAUUAGAUACCCGUGUAGU